Molecule: microRNA precursor, 60 nt
Filed under: Caenorhabditis briggsae
Lineage: Eukaryota; Metazoa; Nematoda; Chromadorea; Rhabditida; Rhabditidae
Description: microRNA cbr-mir-7582 precursor
Source: miRBase by way of RNAcentral
GUAAGGAUUAUUGCUUGUCUCACAUAAAAAUCUCAUGUGACAUGCCAUAAUUUCUUACAG